Molecule: ribosomal RNA, 497 nt
Filed under: uncultured bacterium
Lineage: Bacteria
Description: partial 16S ribosomal RNA
Rfam family: Bacterial small subunit ribosomal RNA
Source: RNAcentral
GAUGAACGCUGGCGGCGUGCCUAAUACAUGCAAGUCGAGCGAACAGACGAGGAGCUUGCUCCUCUGACGUUAGCGGCGGACGGGUGAGUAACACGUGGAUAACCUACCUAUAAGACUGGGAUAACUUCGGGAAACCGGCGCUAAUACCGGAUAAUAUAUUGAACCGCAUGGUUCAAUAGUGAAAGACGGUUUUGCUGUCACUUAUAGAUGGAUCCGCGCCGCAUUAGCUAGUUGGUAAGGUAACGGCUUACCAAGGCAACGAUGCGUAGCCGACCUGAGAGAGUGGUCGGCCACACUGGAACUGAGACACGGUCCAGACUCCUACGGGAGGCAGCAGUAGGGAAUCUUCCGCAAUGGGCGAAAGCCUGACGGAGCAACGCCGCGUGAGUGAUGAAGGUCUUCGGAUCGUAAAACUCUGUUAUUAGGGAAGAACAAAUGUGUAAGUAACUAUGCACGUCUUGACGGUACCUAAUCAGAAAGCCACGGCUAACUACGUG